CCUACGGGUGGCAGCAGUGGGGAAUAUUGCGCAAUGGGCGAAAGCCUGACGCAGCGACGCCGCGUUAGGGAUGAAGGUCUUCGGAUCGUACACCUCUGUCAGCAGGGACGAACGGUCACUGUGCUAAUCAGCAGUGAAUUGACGGUACCUGCAAAGGAAGCACCGGCUAACUCCGUGCCAGCAGCCGCGGUAAUACGGAGGGUGCGAGCGUUAAUCGGAAUUAAUGGGCGUAAAGCGCUCGUAGGCGGUAUGUCAAGUCAAGGGUGAAAUCCCCGCGCGCAACGUGGGAACUGCCUGUGAAACGGGCAAACUGGAGUGUGUGAGAGGAGAGUGGAAUUCCAGGGGGAGGAGUGAAAUCCGUAGAUAUCUGGAGGAACAUCAGUGGAGAAGGCGACUAUCUGGCACAUAACUGACGCUGAGGAGCGAAAGCGUGGGUAGCAAACAGGAUUAGAUACCCGGGUAGUC
This 465-nucleotide ribosomal RNA is filed under the name uncultured bacterium. RNAcentral's name for it is "partial 16S ribosomal RNA". It matches the Rfam family "Bacterial small subunit ribosomal RNA", at positions 338 to 795 of the family's 1533-position model. The record is from RNAcentral.